RNAcentral lists this ribosomal RNA (443 nucleotides) under uncultured bacterium. RNAcentral describes it as "partial 16S ribosomal RNA". It matches the Rfam family "Bacterial small subunit ribosomal RNA", at positions 338 to 795 of the family's 1533-position model. The record is from RNAcentral.
CCUACGGGCGGCAGCAGUGGGGAAUAUUGGGCAAUGGAGGCAACUCUGACCCAGCAACGCCGCGUGAAUGAUGAAGGUCUUCGGAUUGUAAAGUUCUUUUCUAAGGGAAGAAGAAAGUGACGGUACCUUAGGAAUAAGCCUCGGCUAACUAAGUGCCAGCAGCCGCGGUAAUACGUAGGAGGCAAGCGUUAUCCGGAAUGACUGGGGGGAAAGGGUGCGUAGGUGUUUGGACAAGUUGGUAGCGUAACUCCGGGGCUCAACUUCGGAACUACUACCAAAACUGUUGGACUCGAGUGCAGGAAGGGCAACUGGAAUUUCUGGUGUAGCGGUGAAAUGCGUAGAUAUUAGGAAGAACACCGGUGGCGAAGGCGAGUUGCUGGACUGUAACUGACACUGAGGCACGAAAGCGUGGGGAGCAAACAGGAUUAGAUACCCGGGUAGUC